Molecule: non-coding RNA, 335 nt
Organism: Pelobates cultripes (western spadefoot toad)
Lineage: Eukaryota; Metazoa; Chordata; Amphibia; Anura; Pelobatidae
Source: the annotation of a GenBank genome assembly
CUUUUACAUUUUUAAAACUUUGCUUAUGAUUUUAAACAAAUCACUUAAACUGACUAUGUACUAAAAAACACUAUAUCUUAAUCCCAGACCCUGUCCCUGCACUCUGGCAAAUCUAAACAUUACUGUUUAUGAGAAACAGCAAUACUUACGUUGCUAGUCAACCAGCCACUAGAGUUACUUUCUUGAAAACAUUCAAUAAUUAAAAGGCUUCAAGUUCUGCAUCACAAUGGUUUCCAUGGAGUGUUACACUCACUUUGCAGGAUUUGUAAUCUGUUUACUUAUUCACGACAUUUAGCAAAUAUGUUUGAGAUCUGAAAAAUAAAAUUUAUGCUGCU